AACGCACCUUGCGCCCUUUGGUAUUCCGAAGGGCAUGCCUGUUUGAGUGUCAUUAAAUUCUCAACUUCAAAAAGACUUUGGUUUUUUUGAUAGCUUGGAUGUUGGAGGUUUUUUGCAGGCUUUUAUCAGUCAGCUCCUCUCAAAUGCAUUAGCGGAACUUUAACAAAGGAUCGGCUUUGGUUUGAUAAUCCUAUCUAUGCCAUCGCUGGUACACCGAUUAAAAGUUCAGCUUAUAAUUGUCUUCGGACUGUCUUGCAAAAGGCAUAUCAUUUAAACUUGACCUCAAAUCAGGUAGGACUACCCGCUGAACUUAA
Molecule: unclassified non-coding RNA, 314 nt
Filed under: uncultured fungus
Lineage: Eukaryota; Fungi
Description: sequence contains ITS2
Rfam family: 5.8S ribosomal RNA (bases 1-52)
Source: RNAcentral